ACUGUGGCAAGCAGCUUGAGGUGGCCGACAAUUAGUAAAACCAUUAUGGCACCGUACCUAGGACUGGGCUCUGACGAAAAUUUCGAAAAGAAGAAAUCUUUUUCAAAAAGGCUCCAGUACCAGCAUGCCAAACGUCAAAAUAUCUGGCAACCAUCGGGUACGGAAAUUGAGGAAAGUAGCUUCGAUCGGGAGAAUUUCUCUAUACUUCCUUAAUUCAGAACCCAAACUCGAAAGUAGGGAGACUGGUGUUGGGUAUAAAAUACCCCCCGGUCGAAGUUUGUAAA
This 284-nucleotide long non-coding RNA is filed under the name Elaeis guineensis (African oil palm). RNAcentral describes it as "long non-coding RNA (EGUI_LNC081645)". The record is from RNAcentral. Lineage: Eukaryota; Viridiplantae; Streptophyta; Magnoliopsida; Arecales; Arecaceae.